CAAGCGGUGGAUGAUGUGGUUUAAUUCGAUGCAACGCGAAAAACCUUACCCACCUUUGACAUGUACGGAAUUUGCCAGAAAUGGCUUAGUGCUCGAAAGAGAACCGUAACACAGGUGCUGCAUGGCUGUCGUCAGCUCGUGUCGUGAGAUGUUGGGUUAAGUCCCGCAACGAGCGCAACCCUUGUCAUUAGUUGCUACAUUUAGUUGGGCACUCUAAUGAGACUGCCGGUGACAAACCGGAGGAAGGUGGGGAUGACGUCAAGUCCUCAUGGCCCUUAUAGGUGGGGCUACACACGUCAUACAAUGGCUGGUACAAAGGGUUGCCAACCCGCGAGGGGGAGCUAAUCCCAUAAAACCAGUCGUAGUCCGGAUCGCAGUCUGCAACUCGACUGCGUGAAGUCGGAAUCGCUAGUAAUCGUGGAUCAGAAUGUCACGGUGAAUACGUUCCCGGGUCUUGUACACACC
RNAcentral lists this ribosomal RNA (465 nucleotides) under uncultured bacterium. RNAcentral describes it as "bacterial SSU rRNA". It matches the Rfam family "Bacterial small subunit ribosomal RNA", at positions 926 to 1391 of the family's 1533-position model. The record is from RNAcentral.